Molecule: ribosomal RNA, 669 nt
Filed under: Lentilactobacillus buchneri
Lineage: Bacteria; Bacillati; Bacillota; Bacilli; Lactobacillales; Lactobacillaceae
Description: bacterial SSU rRNA
Rfam family: Bacterial small subunit ribosomal RNA
Source: RNAcentral
GACGAGUGGCGAACUGGUGAGUAACACGUGGGUAACCUGCCCUUGAAGUAGGGGAUAACACUUGGAAACAGGUGCUAAUACCGUAUAACAACCAAAACCACCUGGUUUUGGUUUAAAAGACGGCUUCGGCUGUCACUUUAGGAUGGACCCGCGGCGUAUUAGCUUGUUGGUAAGGUAACGGCCUACCAAGGCGAUGAUACGUAGCCGACCUGAGAGGGUAAUCGGCCACAUUGGGACUGAGACACGGCCCAAACUCCUACGGGAGGCAGCAGUAGGGAAUCUUCCACAAUGGACGAAAGUCUGAUGGAGCAACGCCGCGUGAGUGAUGAAGGGUUUCGGCUCGUAAAACUCUGUUGUUGGAGAAGAACAGGUGUCAGAGUAACUGUUGACAUCUUGACGGUAUCCAACCAGAAAGCCACGGCUAACUACGUGCCAGCAGCCGCGGUAAUACGUAGGUGGCAAGCGUUGUCCGGAUUUAUUGGGCGUAAAGCGAGCGCAGGCGGUUUUUUAGGUCUGAUGUGAAAGCCUUCGGCUUAACCGGAGAAGUGCAUCGGAAACCGGGAGACUUGAGUGCAGAAGAGGACAGUGGAACUCCAUGUGUAGCGGUGAAAUGCGUAGAUAUAUGGAAGAACACCAGUGGCGAAGGCGGCUGUCUGGUCUGUAACUGAC